UGUAUAAUGGGUCAGCGACUUAUAUUCUGUAGCAAGGUUAACCGAAUAGGGGAGCCGAAGGGAAACCGAGUCUUAACUGGGCGUUAAGUUGCAGGGUAUAGACCCGAAACCCGGUGAUCUAGCCAUGGGCAGGUUGAAGGUUGGGUAACACUAACUGGAGGACCGAACCGACUAAUGUUGAAAAAUUAGCGGAUGACUUGUGGCUGGGGGUGAAAGGCCAAUCAAACCGGGAGAUAGCUGGUUCUCCCCGAAAGCUAUUUAGGUAGCGCCUCGUGAACUCAUCUCCGGGGGUAGAGCACUGUUUCGGCAAGGGGGUCAUCCCGACUUACCAACCCGAUGCAAACUGCGAAUACCGGAGAAUGUUAUCACGGGAGACACACGGCGGGUGCUAACGUCCGUCGUGAAGAGGGAAACAACCCAGACCGCCAGCUAAGGUCCCAAAGUCAUGGUUAAGUGGGAAACGAUGUGGGAAGGCCCAGACAGCCAGGAUGUUGGCUUAGAAGCAGCCAUCAUUUAAAGAAAGCGUAAUAGCUCACUGGUCGAGUCGGCCUGCGCGGAAGAUGUAACGGGGCUAAACCAUGCAC
RNAcentral lists this ribosomal RNA (584 nucleotides) under Escherichia coli. RNAcentral's name for it is "partial 23S ribosomal RNA". It matches the Rfam family "Bacterial large subunit ribosomal RNA", at positions 609 to 1194 of the family's 2925-position model. Lineage: Bacteria; Pseudomonadati; Pseudomonadota; Gammaproteobacteria; Enterobacterales; Enterobacteriaceae. The record is from RNAcentral.